This 315-nucleotide long non-coding RNA is filed under the name Ricinus communis (castor bean). Its description in RNAcentral is "long non-coding RNA (RCOM_LNC000774)". Lineage: Eukaryota; Viridiplantae; Streptophyta; Magnoliopsida; Malpighiales; Euphorbiaceae. The record is from RNAcentral.
CCCAAUCUUCAAUCUUUGAAGGGAAUCCGAUUUAAACCUCGGUCCAAGUCUCCUUUUUCCUUAGUUCUAACUCAGAAAACCCUUAGAGAGAGAAAAGUUAGGGUUUGGGACGUUCUCCCCCCAUUUUUUUUCUUCUUUCCUCUUGCUCUUUCUUUUAAUUAAUUCAUCAUGUCGCUGCGAACAUGGCUGUGUUCCUGGUCGUGUUGGGAACACGGUCUGGUGUUCCUAGCCGUGUUGGGAACACGAUCUGGUGUUCCUGGCCGUGUUACUCUCUGUGGUUGUGCUCCUUAACGCAUCUUUUUCCUGUUGUCAAAU